CGGCAGGGCACCGUGAACCGGGUCAGGUCCGGAAGGAAGCAGCCCUAAGCGGGCCGCCCUGGGUGCCGCAGGGUCGCCUGACCGG
Molecule: signal recognition particle RNA, 85 nt
Filed under: Actinomycetota bacterium
Lineage: Bacteria; Bacillati; Actinomycetota
Description: partial signal recognition particle sRNA small type
Rfam family: Bacterial small signal recognition particle RNA
About the family: The signal recognition particle (SRP) is a universally conserved ribonucleoprotein involved in the co-translational targeting of proteins to membranes.
Source: RNAcentral